Syngnathus acus (greater pipefish) is the source of this 197-nucleotide long non-coding RNA. RefSeq lists it as uncharacterized. The transcript has 3 exons. The record is from RefSeq and is a predicted model, not a curated record. NCBI's taxonomy places the organism in Eukaryota, Metazoa, Chordata, Actinopteri, Syngnathiformes, Syngnathidae.
GACGAGCGCCACGAGGAAAAGGCCUCAUUCCUGUCAAUCAAAUGAUGACUCCGAAGAGCCUGGCCGUUAACAGCAUCAAGAGGCGGAGGAGGAGGAGGAGAAGCGUCCUGUCCGGAGUGAGGCUCCGAUGCAAGUGCAAUGCAGAGGAAGAGGAGAACUGAGUUCCAAGCUCCUCCUCACUUCCGCCAGGUCUUCCC